GCGGAUAAGCCGAAGUCGGAGACCUUGAGGUUCCCUUCCCUGUCGAGGAGGAGAUUCUGCGGCUUCACGUCGCGGUGAGCCACGCCGUCUCGGUGAGAGAACUGAAGCGCGGAGGCGAGCUGCUGGAAGUAGCGACGCGCUGUGGAUUCGGGGAGGCGGCCGCGGCGGAGGAGUUUGGAGAAGAGCUCGCCGCCGGAGGCGAGUUCCAUGACGAUGUAGAUCUUGGAUUUGGUAGCCAUGACUUCGUGGAUCUUGAGGAUGUUGGGAUGGUCGCGGAGACGGCGCAUCGCGUCGAUCUCACGGAUUAUUCUCGGCUCCAUGUU
RNAcentral lists this long non-coding RNA (323 nucleotides) under Brassica rapa (field mustard). Its description in RNAcentral is "long non-coding RNA (BRAP_LNC000581)". The record is from RNAcentral. Lineage: Eukaryota; Viridiplantae; Streptophyta; Magnoliopsida; Brassicales; Brassicaceae.